AUGAACAUGAGAUUCACUAUGAAUUUUGGAGGUGAAUCAUUAGAAUUUCUCGAUGUCAUGGUUACUAUAGAGGGCUAUCGAAUCUGCACAGCGGACAGUGUAACACAGCCAAAGCCAGCAGUAAUGGUAGAAGCUAAACAGCUCAUCCACCUGGACUGUGAAUACAGCACGACCGACAGUACUCCAUAUCUUUUCUGGUAUGUUCAGUAUCCUGGUCAAGGCCUCAAGUACAUUCUUAGAAGUCUUGGAAGAUCGGAAGAAGUAAAGGCUGCUCCAAAGUUUUCAGCCAAGCAUGACAUAAAGAAAAAAGUCAUUCCUUUAAUGAUUUCUGACGCCACAGAAUCAGACAGUGGGGUGUACUUCUGUGCUCUGAGUGACACAGUGCAUCAACACUAUAGCUUUCCUUAA
Molecule: non-coding RNA, 408 nt
Organism: Bufo bufo (common toad)
Lineage: Eukaryota; Metazoa; Chordata; Amphibia; Anura; Bufonidae
Source: the annotation of a RefSeq genome assembly